RNAcentral lists this ribosomal RNA (460 nucleotides) under uncultured bacterium. RNAcentral's name for it is "partial 16S ribosomal RNA". It matches the Rfam family "Bacterial small subunit ribosomal RNA", at positions 338 to 795 of the family's 1533-position model. The record is from RNAcentral.
CCUACGGGUGGCAGCAGUGAGGAAUAUUGGUCAAUGGGCGCGAGCCUGAACCAGCCAAGUCGCGUGAAGGAUGACUGCCCUACGGGUUGUAAACCUCUUUUAUAAAGGAAUAAAGUGAGGCACGUGUGCCUUUUUGUAUGUACUUUAUGAAUAAGGAUCGGCUAACUCCGUGCCAGCAGCCGCGGUAAUACGGAGGAUCCGAGCGUUAUCCGGAUUUAUUGGGUUUAAAGGGCGCGUAGAUGGGUUGUUAAGUCAGUUGUGAAAGGUGGGGGCUCAACCGUAAAAUUGCAAUUGAUACUGGCAGCCUCGAGUACAGGAGAGGUAGGCGGAAUUCGGGGUGUAGCGGUGAAAUGCGUAGAUAUCGCGAAGAACUCCGAUGGCGAAGGCAGCUUACUGAACUGCCACUGACGUUGAGGCACGAAAGUGUGGGUAUCGAACAGGAUUAGAUACCCGAGUAGUC